GUAGGGUGCGAGCGUUAAUCGGAAUUACUGGGCGUAAAGCGUGCGCAGGCGGUUCGUUGUGUCGGUGGUGAAAUCCCCGGGCUUAACCUGGGAAUGGCCAUGGAAACUGGCGAACUGGAGUGCGGCAGAGGGGGGUGGAAUUCCGCGUGUAGCAGUGAAAUGCGUAGAGAUGCGGAGGAACACCGAUGGCGAAGGCAGCCCCCUGGGCUAGCACUGACGCUCAGGCACGAAAGCGUGGGGAGCAAACAGGAUUAGAUACCCUGGUAGUCCACGCCCUAAACCAUGUCAACUGGGUGUUCGGGAAGCGAUUUCUGAGUACCGUAGCUAACGCGUGAAGUUGACCGCCUGGGGAGUACGGCCGCAAGGUUA
Molecule: ribosomal RNA, 369 nt
Filed under: uncultured bacterium
Lineage: Bacteria
Description: bacterial SSU rRNA
Rfam family: Bacterial small subunit ribosomal RNA
Source: RNAcentral